ACGAAGUUAUACUAAAGGUUCUUUGUGUUUAAUAGAUUGGAUGAGAUUUUUAUGAUAUCUAUUAAACACAAAGAACUUUUAAUAAUAAAAACAACUUUGUUGGCUUAAUCUUAAAGCAAACAAAGUUUUUAUUCAGCAAAAAUUACUUAAAGCUUUUAAAAACAAAGCAAAUAUUUGCACAAAUACUUGCUUUGUUUCAACAUCAAAAAAACAAUCAAAAACAAUAGAUUUCAAUUGAUUUCAAUUUUGAUUGACAAUAUAUGUCAAUCAAUAUUAAAAUUAAAUCGAUUGUCAUUAUAUUAUAAAUAUUCAUACACUACAAAACUUGCCUCCUAUAUUCUAUUAAUUUUUUAAACGUUGAUUAUUGGUUGACUCAGAAAUACGUCAUUUUCACGGAAAAUAGCCAAAAUUGCUUCUUAAUUUUCGUGAAUUUUCACGGAAAAUAUAAUUUACGUAUUAAAACAGUGUACAAAAAGUAAUGUUACUACAAUUUAUGUUCUACUUAUGUAGAGCUUUCUAAUAUUGCGAGACAUUUUAUUUUAAAACCAAUGACUAGUCUAUAAUAAUUGAUUGAAUUAUAAGAUUAAAUCAAUAAAUAAUCAUUAAAAACAAUUAAAAUAAAAAAAUUCAAUUUAAAUAUUGUUUUUAUUUGUCUGAUUUAAAUCAUGGUUUAAAUCAAAAAAACCCUUUAUAUAUUCCAUCUUUUUGAGGCAGAGGGACAUUAUUCUUGGUUUUAUUAUAUUUAAAUUUAAUUUCUGUGGAUAUUUUUCAUAUUUAGUUUGCGUACAACAGUUAACAACUUUAAUCUUAUACAUUAGUUUUAGUUAUAACUUGAUUGUUAAUGAUUUGAUUUAUAGAUUUUUAUAGCAAUGCAAGAUUGAAUUUAGCAGAAGGCUAAACUUCUGCUCUGGAGACAAAAAAGGAAGACAGCCAAAAUGAUCAGCCAAAAUAAAGAUUAAAGAGACAAAAAAUUGUGUAUAUUUUGGUGUAGAUGAUUUAUCCUCAAUUUCUUAUAAUAAAACAAAAAAUAUUAUUAAACUUUGGGAUUUACCUGUAACUCUUAACUCUUUACAAAAGUUCAAUGUUUGCUCUGAGAAGUUAAAUGAACAAAAUUUAUUAAAUGUGCAAUCUGUAUCUCAAACAUUAAUGAGAAUUGUUUUGUGUCAGUGCCAGAAAUUGAAUGUACACCUGCAAAUUUCGUAAUUCAUAAAAAUAUUAUGAAUCCAUUAACAAAUAAAGUUGUAUCCUUGAAAGAUAUGCUGGUAUUAUUGGCACAAUGGGCAAGCAUUGAAGUGCAACUUUGUGAACUACAAAACACAUCAAAUUCAGUUAUAAAAAUUUGAGUAACAAAGGUAUGCUAAUUAUUGUAUUGAAAGAGUAUUAUUGCCAUUAAAAAAAGCAAAGAAUUCAAAUGUUCUGAAAGGAAAAAGGCAAGAAAAUACUUAAUUAAAUGGUUAAUUAUUUGGCACAAAUUAGAGUUAAAGACGAAGGAGAUUGUAUAUAUGUUAUUUACUAAGAAUAGUUUUUUAAGAUGGCCUAGCUGUAAAAUUAAACUAUGCAGGGAGAAGACAAAAAAUUGGAAUAGCAAAAAUGUUGAUUGCAUAAGCUGCUAUUGAAACUGUAAAGUGAAAUAAGCGUAGCUUAUGCAGACAUGUAAUAGAGAUAGCGGAAGAAAAAAUAAUAAUUGUGGGCACCAAAUAUCAUAAGCUAAACACGAUUCAAUAACAAGUAGCUCAGCCAAUAUCGAAACUACUCUAUAAAUUUUAUAGUGAAUGUUUUUAUUUAAAACUCAAUGUGUCAGUUUUUAGUUUAAGUUUGGUGUUAGCAAUAUGUAUAAUUAACCGAGAAAUUAUGUUAAAUAAAUUUUUAUACUUGUAUCA
Molecule: non-coding RNA, 1880 nt
Organism: Hydra vulgaris (swiftwater hydra)
Lineage: Eukaryota; Metazoa; Cnidaria; Hydrozoa; Anthoathecata; Hydridae
Source: RefSeq, a predicted model, not a curated record